UACUGAACUACAAUCAGAUUUCAACAUUCAAUCUUUCUUCUUCUCAAAUAAUAUCAAUCACAUUUCCAUUCUAUAAUUCACUUCACAAUAUUCAAAAACUCUCAAUCCUCUUAUUCAAAGAAAAUAACAAACAAAAGAAAAGAGGUAGCACCAAGCUUACCCCGGUUCAUAACUAUCACAGCGAUGGCAUUUUCUUCCCCU
This 201-nucleotide long non-coding RNA is filed under the name Physcomitrium patens. RNAcentral's name for it is "long non-coding RNA (PPAT_LNC000435)". The record is from RNAcentral. Lineage: Eukaryota; Viridiplantae; Streptophyta; Bryopsida; Funariales; Funariaceae.